CCUACGGGGGGCUGCAGUGGGGAAUAUUGGACAAUGGGGGCAAACCUGAUCCAGCCAUGCCGCGUGUGUGAAGAAGGCCCUCGGGUUGUAAAGCACUUUCAGUGAGGAAGAACGCCUGGUGGUUAAUACCCAUCAGGAAAGACAUCACUCACAGAAGAAGCACCGGCUAACUCCGUGCCAGCAGCCGCGGUAAUACGGAGGGUGCGAGCGUUAAUCGGAAUUACUGGGCGUAAAGCGCGCGUAGGUGGCUUGAUAAGCCGGUUGUGAAAGCCCCGGGCUCAACCUGGGAACGGCAUCCGGAACUGUCAAGCUAGAGUGCAGGAGAGGUAGGUAGAAUUCCCGGUGUAGCGGUGAAAUGCGUAGAGAUCGGGAGGAAUACCAGUGGCGAAGGCGGCCUUCUGGACUGACACUGACACUGAGGUGCGAAAGCGUGGGUAGCAAACAGGAUUAGAUACCCCAGUAGUC
This 465-nucleotide ribosomal RNA is filed under the name Vreelandella stevensii. Its description in RNAcentral is "partial 16S ribosomal RNA". It matches the Rfam family "Bacterial small subunit ribosomal RNA", at positions 338 to 795 of the family's 1533-position model. The record is from RNAcentral. Lineage: Bacteria; Pseudomonadati; Pseudomonadota; Gammaproteobacteria; Oceanospirillales; Halomonadaceae.